UACGUAGGGGGCAAGCGUUAUCCGGAUUUACUGGGUGUAAAGGGGGCGCAGACGGCGAUGCAAGCCAGGAGUGAAAGCCCGGGGCCCAACCCCGGGACUGCUCUUGGAACUGCGUGGCUGGAGUGCAGGAGGGGCAGGCGGAAUUCCUGGUGUAGCGGUGAAAUGCGUAGAUAUCGGGAGGAACACCGGUGGCGAAGGCGGCCUGCUGGACUGCAACUGACGUUGAGGCCCGAAAGCGUGGGGAGCAAACAGG
RNAcentral lists this ribosomal RNA (253 nucleotides) under uncultured bacterium. RNAcentral's name for it is "partial 16S ribosomal RNA". It matches the Rfam family "Bacterial small subunit ribosomal RNA", at positions 524 to 776 of the family's 1533-position model. The record is from RNAcentral.